Molecule: long non-coding RNA, 136 nt
Organism: Amblyraja radiata (thorny skate)
Lineage: Eukaryota; Metazoa; Chordata; Chondrichthyes; Rajiformes; Rajidae
Exons: 3
Source: RefSeq, a predicted model, not a curated record
CCCCUCAUCCUCCUGCGCUCUAAGGAAUAGAAUUCUGUCCUGGUCAACUGCUCUCUACAGCUCAGACUCUUGCGUCCAGGCAACAUCCUCGUGAAUCCUCUCUGCACCCUUUCCUGCUUGACAAUAUCCUUCCUAU